Molecule: ribosomal RNA, 382 nt
Filed under: uncultured bacterium
Lineage: Bacteria
Description: bacterial SSU rRNA
Rfam family: Bacterial small subunit ribosomal RNA
Source: RNAcentral
CGGUAAUACGUAGGGUGCGAGCGUUAACUCAUGAGUCUGGGCGUAAAGCGUGCGCAGGCGGAUUGUUAAGCAAGAUGUGAAAUCCCCGGGCUUAACCUGGGAAUGGCAUUUUGAACUGGCAGUCUAGAGUGUGUCAGAGGGGGGUGGAAUUCCACGUGUAGCAGUGAAAUGCGUAGAUAUGUGGAGGAACACCAAUGGCGAAGGCAGCCCCCUGGGAUAACACUGACGCUCAUGUACGAAAGCGUGGGUAGCAAACAGGAUUAGAUACCCUGGUAGUCCACGCCCUAAACGAUGUCAACUGGAUGCCAAGGGAGUGAAAUCCCUUAGUAACGCCGUAGUCGCGUAGGACCGACCGCCUGGGGAGUACGGUCGCAAGAUUAAA